Molecule: ribosomal RNA, 433 nt
Filed under: uncultured bacterium
Lineage: Bacteria
Description: partial 16S ribosomal RNA
Rfam family: Bacterial small subunit ribosomal RNA
Source: RNAcentral
AACGAACGCUGGCGGCAUGCCUAACACAUGCAAGUCGAACGAGACCUUCGGGUCUUUUGGCGCACGGGUGCGUACCGUGUGGGAACCUGCACUUAGGUUCGGAAUAACUCCCCGAAAGGGGUGCUAAUACCGGAUAAUGUAUUCGCGCCUAAGAUUUAUCGCCUUUGGAUGGGCCCGCGUUGGAUUAGCGAGUUGGUAGGGUAAUAGCCUACCAUGGCGACGAUCCAUAGCUGGUCUGAGAGGAUGAUCAGCCACACUGGGACUGCGGCACGGCCCAGACUCCUACGGAACGCAGCAGAGGGUAAUAUUGGACAAGGGGGGAAGGCGUGAUCCAGCAAUGCCGCGGGAGUGAUGAAGGCCGUAGGAUUGUAAAUCUCUUUUACCCGGGACGAGAAUGACGGUACCGGGAGAAUAAGCACCGGCUAACUCCGUG